GUCAGUUACAAAUCUUAUAUCACUAUUCAUUUGAAUUAAAUAUAUAAACAAGGUGAUUGAAGAAAUGACCCAAAUAUCUAAUCUGGUCAAGUACAAGGACAGAUAUUUCAGACAUUAAACUGGCACAAGUGUUAAGGUAUUUUACCAAUCUUUGAUUUUAUUUAUCCAACCCUUGUGUAUGAUAUAGAAAUUCUAUUCAUUACAUUUAUAAAAUGUGCAAGCUUAGCAAUCAGUUCAUUUCCUUUUCUUCAUGCUUCAUAAUGUUUUUGAGAUCUAGCUGUAUUAAAAAAUAUCUGUGUGUUUUGAAGCUGUUUUUCAAACUUUGAGCAAUUGUAGGAGCACCUCAGGGGAGGAGCAUCAAUGACACAUGAAACAUUAACUUUAACAACUAUAAAUAAAAAUGGCAGUCAACUUCAACAAGAUGAGUGAUUUGGGUGUCACUAGAAAUCAACGGCAGUGUUUUAAAGUGUAAAGUAAGAGCAAGCAAUAUGUAAUUCGAAACAUUGAAAUGGGGGUAACUCGCAACCAGCUUAUAGUCGAGCCAACUGAAAUAUAAUUACAAAAUUUUGUUGUAGUCACGAAUGCAGAUCAAAUUCUGAGGCCACACCCCCUGUUGGAAAUAAAUUAACGAAGCAGUGUAUGCAAGUUCUUCAGAGUCCCCCUAGUCUAAUGGAGCCUAUCUUCAUUAACCAUCUGACACAGAAGUACCCUGUUCUGAUGGGAGGCUGUGAAAUUCUGUGUUCUCAAUGCUGACUGAAUGUGAAACGAUGAUUUACUAUAAAGAAUAAAGAAACCUUCUUUCCUAUC
Molecule: long non-coding RNA, 807 nt
Organism: Ostrea edulis (European flat oyster)
Lineage: Eukaryota; Metazoa; Mollusca; Bivalvia; Ostreida; Ostreidae
Exons: 2
Source: RefSeq, a predicted model, not a curated record